This 305-nucleotide ribosomal RNA is filed under the name uncultured bacterium. RNAcentral's name for it is "bacterial SSU rRNA". It matches the Rfam family "Bacterial small subunit ribosomal RNA", at positions 335 to 658 of the family's 1533-position model. The record is from RNAcentral.
GUCCUACGGGAGGCAGCAGUGGGGAAUAUUGCACAAUGGGGGAAACCCUGAUGCAGCGACGCCGCGUGAGUGAAGAAGUAUUUCGGUAUGUAAGGCUCUAUCAGCAGGGAAGAAAAUGACGGUACCUGACUAAGAAGCCCCGGCUAACUACGUGCCAGCAGCCGCGGUAAUACAUAGGGGGCAAGCGUUAUCCGGAUUUAUUGGGUGUAAAGGGUGCGUAGACGGAGAAACAAGUUGGUUGUGAAAUCCCUCGGCUCAACUGAGGAACUGCAACCAAAACUAUUUCCCUUGAGUGUCGGAGAGGA